RNAcentral lists this unclassified non-coding RNA (266 nucleotides) under plant metagenome. Its description in RNAcentral is "partial contains small subunit ribosomal RNA and internal transcribed spacer 1". The stretch from base 1 to 54 matches the Rfam family "Eukaryotic small subunit ribosomal RNA", at positions 1778 to 1831 of the family's 1831-position model. The record is from RNAcentral.
GAAAGUAAAAGUCGUAACAAGGUUUCCGUAGGUGAACCUGCGGAAGGAUCAUUACUGAGUGCCGGUCCCUCGUGGACCGAACCUCCCACCCUUGUCUCUUGUAUACCCUGUUGCUUUGGCGGGCCCACUGGGAAUUCCCAGUCGCCGAGGGGCACUGCGCCCCUGGGCCCGUGCCCGCCAGAGCGCCCUUGAACCCUAAUGAAGAUGGACUGUCUGAGCAUGAUUGAUAAUAAUCAAAACUUUCAACAAUGGAUCUCUUGGUUCCG